Molecule: long non-coding RNA, 1638 nt
Organism: Hemicordylus capensis (graceful crag lizard)
Lineage: Eukaryota; Metazoa; Chordata; Lepidosauria; Squamata; Cordylidae
Exons: 4
Source: RefSeq, a predicted model, not a curated record
AAGGUGAAAGAGCCCCGCCCACGUCCGAAUCUCUCCUCCGCGCCCACAGCACGCACAUCGCUGCUCCUUGUAACGUCGGGAAGACGGCUGGCUUUCCCCUCCCGGAGCGAGGGCUCCCCUACCAUGAAAUGUCAGAAACAACGAGAGUGGCGCUGCCGCCGCUUCCAAGAAUGGGCAGAAAGACCUCGCGGAGCCGUUGACAAAGACUCAUUGCAGCUGGCCGCGCUCUCCAUUUGAGUAUUAGAGAGCGGGACUCCCAAGCCGCGGCGGCGCCACAGCCCAUUGGGGUGGACAAUCCAUCAGUUUCUCUUAUGAGAAAUCAAUCCCGUUUAUGAGAGGUGGCAGAAUGCCGAGAGACGGUGGCCCCUGCACUAGUCCCCUCAGUCGGUCUGCGGCCACGUAUGAGAGAUUCCCCUUCUCACUCCUCCAAGUGUGGCCGCUGCACAAGCCAAAAGUCUAUUGGUGAAAUGGAGCCUCCAUAUUCAGAGACAGUACACCUGUCAGGUAGUAGGAAGCAAACCGUGCAAAGGGAUGGUACUGUCUGGGGCAGAAUCCUGGGGCUGAUCUAGCAAGGCAGUUCUUCUGUCUACUGUCUUCCCUUUACAGCCCCGCAUAGAAGUUUCCUUGGCACUUCUAAUUUCUCUCACAGUCUCACUCCUAACCACAUUUUCUCUGAAAUAAUGCCUAUUGGUGAUCUGAAGAGAAGUGGCUUCCCAAUAAGACUGCAGUCUUAUGUGUACAUACUUGGAGAUCCUGCCCUUUCUUGUGACUACCACCAGAGAUGAACAGUGAAGUGGAAGGGAAAUAUACCUUACCAAAACCAUGCCCAAGCAACAAGAACUCGGGUCUAGGCUUUUCCCAUCAUUGUUCUUGCCAUUAAAAUGCUCCAUCAGGAAUCUGACACAAAUUGCCUCCGGUGCGUGUCCUCCUGGAUUUGGCGGCGGAACACUCGCGGGAGUUCCUAGCAUUGGGCGAGAGUUGGGGAAAAGAAAAAAUGGCGGCCACCGGGAGGCAGCGGCAGCGGGACAACCUGGCCUGGCUAGGCCAGGCCGUCCGGGUGGCAGCCUCCAAGACUUUUAACACCUGGAGUGAAAGGUCAAGAGGACACCUUCUCCUUUCCAUAUGUUAAAAUGACCCACUGACUUGGAGCUUAGAGGUGAAAGAUGGAGUCCACUCUGGUGCCCAAAGGAACUGCUUCACGUCAGCUUUACAAAAACUGCCUUAUGUGUUCCAAAUAGUAAUAGUCAUCAUCAUCAUCAUCAUCAUCAUCCCAGGAGAGAGAUGAGUCGACGAAAAACAAUUGGAGAAAAUAACUAAAUACAAGGACCUUCAGAUUGAAACUGAGCAGCUCUGGAAAAAGAAAACAACAGUGAUGCCAAUAGUUGUUGGUGCCCUUGGGGCAGUACCAAAGAACUUGAACACCAUCUCGAGACCCUGGGCAUCAAUAAAAUUACAACACAUCAACUACAGAAGGCCACACUACGUGGGACAGCACAAAUACUAUGACAAUAUCUUUAAUUUUUCUUUAGUUAUCCUAGAUCCUUGGAAAGGGCCCAAUAAUUAAAGUACCAAAUCCAGUCAAUAACAUCUGGCAGACUGUGUGUAAAUAGCAUAAUAAUAAAUCAACUUUAUUUGUUA